This is a long non-coding RNA of Talpa occidentalis (Iberian mole), 443 nucleotides long. RefSeq lists it as uncharacterized. NCBI's taxonomy places the organism in Eukaryota, Metazoa, Chordata, Mammalia, Eulipotyphla, Talpidae. The transcript is spliced from 3 exons. The record is from RefSeq and is a predicted model, not a curated record.
UUUGAAUCCAGGUCUGUUUGGUUCUUAGGCUUGUGCUGAUCUGUCAUCUCGCCUGCUGAGUGCCCCUGCCCGCUGCUUCUUGCAGCCACAGCAAGGGCUGGACCAGACCACGUGCUGUCCCAGGCCUGGGUGCAGACUCCAGAGGCUUCACCACGUCUCAGCUGUGUAGCACUGGAUAAAGGGGAGAUGAAAGAAAUAAUGUCCAGCUUUAGCUGUGGUGCACGGCCUUUGAACAAGAUCUCAUUCCACAUCACUGUUACAACACUGCUGUGGAGGCUGCACAUUUCCGCUGUGUCUGCGUGGGUUUCUCUGGGAACUACAUUUUUUCCCCGCACCCUACAGACAUGCACGUCAGGGUUUGGCUUUCAAGACCUGACCGGCAGUGCGAAGUGAGGACCUGCUGCCCCUUGCUCUGGGCUGACUCUGUGGAGGCAGUACUUCUA